Molecule: ribosomal RNA, 331 nt
Filed under: uncultured Butyrivibrio sp.
Lineage: Bacteria; Bacillati; Bacillota; Clostridia; Lachnospirales; Lachnospiraceae
Description: bacterial SSU rRNA
Rfam family: Bacterial small subunit ribosomal RNA
Source: RNAcentral
GAUGAACGCUGGCGGCGUGCCUAACACAUGCAAGUCGAACGGAGUUUACUCGCCGAUGAAGCUUCGGCAGAAUCUUGAGUAAACUUAGUGGCGGACGGGUGAGUAACGCGUGGGCAACCUGCCUCAUACUGGGAGAUAACAGUUGGAAACGACUGUUAAUACCGCAUAAGCGCACAGAGUCGCAUGACUCAGUGUGAAAAACUCCGGUGGUAUGAGAUGGGCCCGCGUCAGAUUAGCCAGUUGGCGGGGUAACGGCCCACCAAAGCGACGAUCAGUAGGGGUUCUGAGAGGAAGGUCCCCCACAUUGGUACUGAGACACGGACCAAACUCC